GGGGAGGUGGCCGAGCGGUUGAAGGCGCUCGCCUGCUAAGCGAGUAUGCGGGUAAUGCCCGUAUCGAGGGUUCGAAUCCCUCCCUCUCCG
RNAcentral lists this transfer RNA (90 nucleotides) under Chloroflexota bacterium. Its description in RNAcentral is "tRNA-Ser". It matches the Rfam family "tRNA". From Rfam's summary of the family: Transfer RNA (tRNA) molecules are approximately 80 nucleotides in length. Their secondary structure includes four short double-helical elements and three loops (D, anti-codon, and T loops). Lineage: Bacteria; Bacillati; Chloroflexota. RNAcentral also lists the same sequence under 4 other names. The record is from RNAcentral.